Molecule: ribosomal RNA, 200 nt
Filed under: uncultured bacterium
Lineage: Bacteria
Description: partial 16S ribosomal RNA
Rfam family: Bacterial small subunit ribosomal RNA
Source: RNAcentral
AGAGUUUGAUCCUGGCUCAGGAUAAACGCUGGCGGCGUGCCUAACACAUGCAAGUCGAACGCCCUCUCGGCAACGGGAGGGAGUGGCGGACGGGUGAGUAACACGUGGGUACCUACCCUUAAGUGAGGAAUACCGGCGAGAAAUCGCCGACAAUACCGCAUACGCUUCGCAGGAAGCAAAGCUCGGCAACGGGCGCUUGA